UGAUACUAAGCCAUGCGAGUCAUUGCAGUAAUGCAAGGCAGACGGCUCAGUAACGCGUAGUCAACCUACCCUAUGGACGGGAAUAACCUCGGGAAACUGAGUAUAAUGCCCGAUAGAACACUAUCCCUGGAAUGGUUUGUGUUCCAAAUGAUUUAUCGCCGUAGGAUGGGACUGCGGCCUAUCAGUUUGUUGGUGAGGUAAUGGCCCACCAAGACUAUUACAGGUACGGGCUCUGAGAGGAGCAGCCCGGAGAUGGGUACUGAGACACGGACCCAGGCCCUAUGGGGCGCAGCAGGCGAGAAAACUUUGCAAUGUGCGAAAGCACGACAAGGUUAAUCCGAGUGGUUUGUGCUAAACGAACCUUUUGACAGUCCUAGAGACACUGUUGAAUAAGGGGUGGGCAAGUUCUGGUGUCAGCCGCCGCGGUAAAACCAGCACCUCAAGUGGUCAGGAUGAUUAUUGGGCCUAAAGCAUCCGUAGCCGGCUCUGUAAGUUUUCGGUUAAAUCUGUACGCUCAACGUACAGGCUGCCGGGAAUACUGCAGAGCUAGGGAGUGGGAGAGGUAGACGGUACUCGGUAGGAAGGGGUAAAAUCCUUUGAUCUAUUGAUGACCACCUGUGGCGAAGGCGGUCUACCAGAACACGUCCGACGGUGAGGGAUGAAAGCUGGGGGAGCAAACCGGAUUAGAUACCCGGGUAGUCCCAGCUGUAAACUAUGCAAACUCAGUGAUGCAUUGGCUUGUGGCCAAUGCAGUGCUGCAGGGAAGCCGUUAAGUUUGCCGCCUGGGAAGUACGUACGCAAGUAUGAAACUUAAAGGAAUUGGCGGGGGAGCACCACAAGGGGUGAAGCCUGCGGUUCAAUUGG
This 864-nucleotide ribosomal RNA is filed under the name uncultured archaeon. RNAcentral describes it as "bacterial SSU rRNA". It matches the Rfam family "Archaeal small subunit ribosomal RNA", at positions 39 to 909 of the family's 1478-position model. The record is from RNAcentral.